This 334-nucleotide ribosomal RNA is filed under the name Salmonella enterica subsp. enterica serovar Durham. RNAcentral's name for it is "partial 23S ribosomal RNA". It matches the Rfam family "Bacterial large subunit ribosomal RNA", at positions 1 to 372 of the family's 2925-position model. The record is from RNAcentral. Lineage: Bacteria; Pseudomonadati; Pseudomonadota; Gammaproteobacteria; Enterobacterales; Enterobacteriaceae.
GUUAAGCGACUAAGCGUACACGGUGGAUGCCCUGGCAGUCAGAGGCGAUGAAGGGCGUGCUAAUCUGCGAUAAGCGCCGGUAAGGUGAUAUGAACCGUUAUAACCGGCGAUACCCGAAUGGGGAAACCCAGUGUGAUUCGUCACACUAUCAUUAACUGAAUCCAUAGGUUAAUGAGGCGAACCGGGGGAACUGAAACAUCUAAGUACCCCGAGGAAAAGAAAUCAACCGAGAUUCCCCCAGUAGCGGCGAGCGAACGGGGAGGAGCCCAGAGCCUGAAUCAGCAUGUGUGUUAGUGGAAGCGUCUGGAAAGGCGCGCGAUACAGGGUGAUAGCC